This 253-nucleotide ribosomal RNA is filed under the name uncultured Bacteroidota bacterium. RNAcentral's name for it is "uncultured Bacteroidetes bacterium partial 16S ribosomal RNA". It matches the Rfam family "Bacterial small subunit ribosomal RNA", at positions 524 to 776 of the family's 1533-position model. The record is from RNAcentral. Lineage: Bacteria; Pseudomonadati; Bacteroidota.
UACGAAGGAUCCAAGCGUUGUCCGGAUUUACUGGGUUUAAAGGGAGCGUAGGUGGACUAUUAAGUCAGUGGUGAAAGCUUGCAGCUUAACUGUAAAAUUGCCAUUGAAACUGAUAGUCUCGAAUAUGGUUGAGGUGGUUGGAAUGUAUCAUGUAGCGGUGAAAUGCUUAGAUAUGAUACAGAACACCGAUUGCGAAGGCAGAUCACUAAACCAUUAUUGACACUGAGGCUCGAAAGCGUGGGGAUCAAACAGG